Molecule: ribosomal RNA, 1245 nt
Filed under: metagenome
Description: bacterial LSU rRNA
Rfam family: Bacterial large subunit ribosomal RNA
Source: RNAcentral
UGAAUACGAGAUGCUACGGCGUCGAAGCAGUGUAUGUCAGACUUCCAAGAAAAGCUCGCAAUGUCAUAAAUAAAGAAUGCCUGUACCAUAACCGACACAGGUGGGUAGGUAGAGUAUACUAAGGGGCGCGAGAUAACUCUCUCUAAGGAACUCGGCAAAGUAACUCCGUAACUUCGGGAGAAGGAGUGCCUUCUAUUAGAAGGUUGCAAUAACAAGAUCCAAGCAACUGUUUAUCAAAAACACAGGUCUCCGCUAAGUCGUAAGACGAUGUAUGGGGGCUGACGCCUGCCCAGUGCCAGAAGGUUAAAGAAGUUGGUUAGCUUUGGCGAAGCUGAUGACUGAAGCCCUGGUGAACGGCGGCCGUAACGAUAACGGUCCUAAGGUAGCGAAAUUCCUUGUCGGGUAAGUUCCGACCCGCACGAAAGGCGUAAUGAUUUGGAUACUGUCUCGGAGAGGGACUCGGUGAAAUAGACUUGUCUGUGAAGAUGCGGACUACCUGCACCAGGACAGAAAGACCCUAUGAAGCUUUACUGUAACUUGAAAUUGAAAUUGGACUUUAUUUGCGCAGCAUAGGUGGAAGGCAUUGAGAUUACUCUUGCGGGAGCAGUGGAGCCAUCAGUGAGAUACCACUCCUAUAAUGUUAGAUUUCUAACUUUGGAUCAUGAUCUGGUCAAAGAACAGUUUCAGGCGGGCAGUUUGACUGGGGCGGUCGCCUCCCAAAUGGUAACGGAGGCGUACAAAGGUUUCCUCUGAACGGGUAGAAAUCGUAUCUAGAGUGUAAAGGCAUAAGGAAGCUUGACUGUGAGACCUACAAGUCGAGCAGGGACGAAAGUCGGUCUUAGUGAUCUGACGGUGCUGAGUGGAAAGGCCGUCACUCAACGGUUAAAAGUUACUCUAGGAUAACAGGCUGAUCUCCCCCAAGAGUUCACAUCGACGGGGAGGUUUGGCACCUUGAUGUCGGCUCAUCGCAUCCUGGGGCGGUAGUACGUCCCAAGGGUUGGGCUGUUCGCCCAUGAAAGCGGUACGCGAGCUGGGUUCAGAACGUCGUGAGACAGUUCGGUCCAUAUCCGGUGUAGGCGUUAGAAUAUUGAGAGGAGCCUUCUUUAGUACGAGAGGACCGAGAAGGACAUACCUCUGGUGUACCAGUUAUCGUGCCAACGGUAAACGCUGGGUAGCUAUGUAUGGAGAGGAUAACCGCUGAAAGCAUCUAAGUGGGAAGCCCACCUCAAGAUGAGUAUUCUCAUC